UACGAAGGGGGCUAGCGUUGCUCGGAAUUACUGGGCGUAAAGGGCGCGUAGGCGGCACUGUUAGUCAGGCGUGAAAGUCCUGGGCUCAACCUGGGAACUGCGCUUGAUACGGCAGAGCUAGAGGACGGUAGAGGCGUGUGGAAUUCCGGGUGUAGUGGUGAAAUACGUAGAUAUCAGGAGGAACACCGGUGGCGAAAGCGGCGACCUGGUCCAAUAUUGACACUCAUACACGAAGCGUGGGGAUCAAACAGG
Molecule: ribosomal RNA, 252 nt
Filed under: uncultured bacterium
Lineage: Bacteria
Description: partial 16S ribosomal RNA
Rfam family: Bacterial small subunit ribosomal RNA
Source: RNAcentral